Molecule: ribosomal RNA, 117 nt
Organism: Syntrophobacter fumaroxidans MPOB
Lineage: Bacteria; Pseudomonadati; Thermodesulfobacteriota; Syntrophobacteria; Syntrophobacterales; Syntrophobacteraceae
Source: Rfam
GGCGGCGGUAAGAGCGAGGAGGAAACACCCGUUCCCAUCCCGAACACGGUCGUUAAGCUCCUCUGCGCCGAUGGUACUGCGCGGGAAGCUGCGUGGGAGAGUAGGGCAUCGCCGCCC